This 1073-nucleotide long non-coding RNA is filed under the name Equus caballus (horse). RNAcentral's name for it is "lncRNA (ENSECAG00000046059.1)". Lineage: Eukaryota; Metazoa; Chordata; Mammalia; Perissodactyla; Equidae. The record is from RNAcentral.
CCAGCGCCUACUUGCUGACAAGCUGCCCAACUGCCAUGGAAUGUUUAGGAGAGGGGAAAGAUGCUCAAAUUGGCCUUUCACUUGGAUGGAUCUAGGAGCCGUAGGAAAGAGAGAACAUGAAUCUUGAGCACAUUCAAAUGUGUCUGCAGAUCUGCCCAAUGGACUGGACAGAAAGGAGAAAAUUGAGGAAUAUGUUUGGAAGAAAGUUCCAGAGCCUAGAGAUCAGUGGGAAGACUGGUUCCAAGAAAAGUGUGAAGUUAGCCUGGCCAUUGUCUACCACAGCACCACCUCCACCCUUGGAGCACCGGUGACGUCUGAGAAGGGAAAGCCAGGCCCGUGGUAUAAUUGAGGAAUCUGACUGUCCUGGUGUGGAAAACCCCUACCAAGGAGCUGGAUAAAAAACAUAGAGGAACUUAUGGCCAGCCGGAGAGAAGAGCCCCAUUAGUUCGGGAGUAGGGAGAACAGCAUCCAGUUGACUGUCAAGAACACGGAAACAGGAGGAGCAGCCGUCUCUGAAAGAAUCAAGCUCUGAAAUUAAGAGAAGACAUAGUUUGAAGGAAAGCAGACACUCUUUGGGAUCAACGUAUUGGGGCUUCUACUCCUGAUAGGUCUACGGUCUUAGACAAGUUAACCCGCAUCCUUGAGUAAACUGGAUAUCAUAACACCCACCAUCCAGGACAAUUGUGGAGGAGACACUGUAAAAUGACUGAAGAGCUGCCUUAGAUACAACAUCAUUUCCAAAUCAGAGUGGUGGAGGCAAUCAGGAUACUUAUAUAAGGCCAUUAAAGAUCCUUCAUUAGCAUCAAGUGCCCCUUUGUAAUGAUCCAGGUAGCCUGGGAGGAAGAAGGUUUAACCUCUCUGCAGGGAAGAAGCCUCAGAUGCUGAAGAUUUCACUGUCCAAGUGUCACAUUAAAUGGAGAAAAUUUUUAAGAUUCCUCUGCCUGUUCCUUGAUUUUGUAGUGGACCUUGAUUGUCUAUGAUUGAGAGCACUCUUGCAAGGUGGUCUUUGCAGCAAGAAAGCUCAUGGAAAAGAAGUCAUUUUGAGUGGAGAUGCAAUAAACUAAUUUAUUAUU